This 77-nucleotide transfer RNA is filed under the name Candidatus Omnitrophota bacterium. RNAcentral describes it as "Candidatus Omnitrophica bacterium tRNA-Ile". It matches the Rfam family "tRNA". Rfam says of the family: Transfer RNA (tRNA) molecules are approximately 80 nucleotides in length. Their secondary structure includes four short double-helical elements and three loops (D, anti-codon, and T loops). Lineage: Bacteria; Pseudomonadati; Candidatus Omnitrophota. The record is from RNAcentral.
GGCGGGGUAGCUCAGCCUGAUAGAGCAGUCGGCUCAUACCCGAUUGGCCGAGAGUUUAAAUCUCUCCCCCGCCACCA